This is a non-coding RNA of Lepisosteus oculatus (spotted gar), 2321 nucleotides long. NCBI's taxonomy places the organism in Eukaryota, Metazoa, Chordata, Actinopteri, Semionotiformes, Lepisosteidae. The record is from RefSeq and is a predicted model, not a curated record.
GUACAAAGAGUAAAGGAGAGGUGAUAAGACAGUGAGAAUCUCCUGUGCUCAGGGCGAAGGGCUUAAGAGGUGGUGUCUUUCAGCUGCUGUUUCUUAAACAAGCAGAGGCGUUACAGAGUAAAAAAGAGGAUUACAGCAUGGGCAAUGUAUACUUCAAAGCAGAAACCCUCCUACUUGUUUCGGCAAGAUUUAUUGAUACACAUCCUGCUAAAGCCUGUCACUUUGCUGUGGACAACAAUGGGAACCACAGCUGAAACUUUAAAAAAAAAAUCCUUGAAAAGGAAACGUGUAGCAGGAAUGCAAAACUUGCUUGAGGUUUCCCAACUAUCCUUUGUUAUGUUUCCUGACAUUUGUAAAGUGUUUUUAAAACUGAGAACAGGGGGCACUUCUUUACCCAAGGGGUUAUGGGAGUGUGGAGAAAACUUCCCAGCCAUGCUGUUGAAACUGAUGCUAUGGCUUCUUUCAAUAAACUUCCCAAUGGGGUUAAUGAGCCAAGAGGCCUUCUCUGUUUUGUUUUUUGUAAUUUAGGUUCCCUCUUCUUUUUUCUUAUGUUAACAUUAGAUGUAUCCCCAUGAAAACAGACAAAUCUAGUAGAGCAGUCUGCUAGCAGAUAUUAAAUAUCCCUCUGUUCAUUUUCAGCAAAGACUUCAAGAACAUCACCUGGGGUACUCAUAGCAGGAAUUGUGUUAAUCCUUGCAGCAGCAGGUGUAUUAAUAUUUACUUGGUACAAACGCAGACAGCAAAAGGAGGAAAGAACAGAGUCUAAUUACUCAGAUGAGAAUGAAGGAGAUGCCAGAACGCCAAUGUCCGCACUAUCAAACCAAGGUUCUGCAGUUCCAAGAGAUCCACAGGAUGAUCAGAUCACCUCCCACUGAUAUUGGAUUUAGUCAGCUUAGCACUCAGACAGCCCAGAACAGCUGAUAUGUCACAAGGAAGAAGGACUUUAAUAACAGUGUGAAAAGUCAUAUGAAGAGGGAACUUACUUGAUAAGCAAUAUAUUUAAUGUUGAACCUUGUGUGCAUUAAAUGGUGGUGGAGCCUAAUGUUGUUACUUUUAUUGUAGUGGUGUAGGAGAUAUGGGGAGGAAUUUGGGUUUAAGUGUGAGAAAGUUAGCUAAAAUGUUUGCUGUGUGAAGAGGUCUAUUUGGAGGUGACAUCUAAUAAUAAUAAUUAAAUUAAAUUAAUAAUAAUUAAAAGUUAUAGAAAAGCAUGAUGUCAUUUUUGUUUAUAGAUGCAAGAAGACACUUAUUUAUUAAUUUCACUAACACUACUUCUCACAUUAAGUAUUGAUGACUGAAAAUGUUUGUUUUUUUUAAAGUAAUCCAUUUCAGACUUUUCAAAUUGCGACAGUAUCCCCAUGUAUACUGGGUUUUGUUCUAGCUGAGUUCAAGUUUCCCUAAUAAUUUAGCCUUAAUCAAGCAGGUUUGAGAAUUUGUUUUGGAAAUUAAAAUGGCAGACACUGGAGGUCUCUCCAGAAUGAGGACUGACAUCUUUGUCUCGUGUUCCAUGUGCACUUAUAUUCGGCUGUUCCAGUUCAUGUUCAUGUUGUUUUUCUUUAUUGGCUUCUUAAAGUGCCAGCUCAAUGCUUGCCUUUCCAGUAGUGAUGUUUCAGGUCAGGUAAAAAAAGAUCGAUCUUUUUGCAUACUUGCAAUGGUACUGAAGCCAUUGAGCCCCAGAGCUGAUCUGAGAAACUAAGCAAAGGUAGGUUGUUGCUGGGCCAGAGCUUGGUCAGUACUGAAGAGCCAGGUUGCUUCUUUAAAUGAUGCUGGUGAACCCACAGGGGGUUUCCCCACUGGACAAGAAUCGCCAGGCCAUUGCCCCAGUAAAUUGUCCAGGGGCAUCGAGCUGCAGGAGAUGAUGUAAUAGGUACGAAUGACAAUAGGGAUCCUAUUACUUGGUCACUAAAUAUCUCAUUGCAGUGUGAUUGAGAGUAGAAUACGAAUUGUUUGGAAUUUUUUUUGCUGAGAUCUUUAUAUCCUUCCCCCCUGCCUUCUCUCUUUUAAAUGUUGUGUGAAAUGUAGAUUUAGGUCGUUUUCUGUAAUCUAGCUCAAAAGGUACGCAACUUCAAUUUUGAAACCCUGUACAUUGUUUGCACUGAUGUAAUGUACAGUGUUAUACAGGUGCUUGUCAUUAAAUGGGACAGAUGUACUUUGCAGCUUUGUUCAAAUUAGUUUAAAUGAUGUUAUUUAAGUUGUCACGAAGAGAGUCAUCAUUUCAAGAGUUGUUUUAUAACGUUUGUGUUAUGCUUUAGCUUUAUGGGGAAUAAUAUAUCUAUUUAUUCCUGUGUGUUUUAUGUUUUCAUAAAUUAAACCUGAUAAUGCUA